Molecule: ribosomal RNA, 376 nt
Filed under: uncultured bacterium
Lineage: Bacteria
Description: bacterial SSU rRNA
Rfam family: Bacterial small subunit ribosomal RNA
Source: RNAcentral
GACAGAGGGUGCAAGCGUUGUUCGGAAUUAUUGGGCGUAAAGGGCGCGUAGGCGGCUUGGCAAGUCGGAUGUGAAAGCCCAGGGCUCAACCCUGGAAGUGCAUCCGAAACUAUCAAACUAGAGUCCCGGAGAGGGUGGUGGAAUUCCCAGUGUAGAGGUGAAAUUCGUAGAUAUUGGGAGGAACACCGGUGGCGAAGGCGACCGCCUGGACGGAGACUGACGCUGAGGCGCGAGAGCGUGGGGAGCAAACAGGAUUAGAUACCCUGGUAGUCCACGCUGUAAACGAUGGAUACUAGGUGUUGCGGGUAUUGACCCCUGCAGUGCCGACGCUAACGCAUUAAGUAUCCCGCCUGGGAAGUACGGCCGCAAGGCUAAA